Molecule: ribosomal RNA, 544 nt
Filed under: uncultured fungus
Lineage: Eukaryota; Fungi
Description: eukaryotic LSU rRNA
Rfam family: 5.8S ribosomal RNA (bases 187-340)
Source: RNAcentral
GUGACCUGCGGAGGGUCAUUACACAAAUAUGAAGGCGGGCUGGAACCUCUCGGGGUUACAGCCUUGCUGAAUUAUUCACCCUUGUCUUUUGCGUACUUCUUGUUUCCUUGGUGGGUUCGCCCACCACUAGGACAAACAUAAACCUUUUGUAAUUGCAAUCAGCGUCAGUAACAAAUUAAUAAUUACAACUUUCAACAACGGAUCUCUUGGUUCUGGCAUCGAUGAAGAACGCAGCGAAAUGCGAUAAGUAGUGUGAAUUGCAGAAUUCAGUGAAUCAUCGAAUCUUUGAACGCACAUUGCGCCCUUUGGUAUUCCAAAGGGCAUGCCUGUUCGAGCGUCAUUUGUACCCUCAAGCUUUGCUUGGUGUUGGGCGUCUUGUCUCUAGCUUUGCUGGAGACUCGCCUUAAAGUAAUUGGCAGCCGGCCUACUGGUUUCGGAGCGCAGCACAAGUCGCACUCUCUAUCAGCAAAGGUCUAGCAUCCAUUAAGCCUUUUUUUCAACUUUUGACCUCGGAUCAGGUAGGGAUACCCGCUGAACUUAAGCA